This is a long non-coding RNA of Scylla paramamosain (green mud crab), 5045 nucleotides long. RefSeq lists it as uncharacterized. Lineage: Eukaryota; Metazoa; Arthropoda; Malacostraca; Decapoda; Portunidae. The record is from RefSeq and is a predicted model, not a curated record. The transcript is spliced from 4 exons.
ACUAAUGGGAGUGAGGCUGGCUCACCGCCUUCCUGCUCUCCCAGCCGCCGCCCGCGUGGCCAUCACAUCCCACGAGGCUCGAGGAUUAUUAUUGAUUUAUGUCGAGUUAUUAGUGUUGCGUUGAGUUACGAGUAAUGUUUUGCGGAUGGUGUCGUUACUUUAAGUGGAGUGCUUUACUGUGGUGAUUCAGCGUUGGACUUGACGUGACGGAGAGGCUUUUAGAGGUGCCAGGCGGGUGGAACUGGGGCAGCGGGCAGUGUGAAGCCAGCUCCACACCACCACCACCACAACCGCCCACAGCCUUGUUCCACGCCUCCUCCAUGCCGCCUUCCUCCACACAGUCACGACGGACGACUGACCCACCUGCACCCCUGCCGCACCUCAGCCUCGGGACAUGUGAGGUGUGGCCCUCAUUCCUGAUCCCAGUACCUCAGGAACCUCGGUCCACCCCCUUGAGGCCGGGAGAAACAGGUGACUCCUAAUGGACUCAGAACUUGUCCAUUAACCUCAUAUGACCGCAUCUGGUAUUCAAGGGUUUGUUUCCCUUAGUGAAGAAAGCAGCGACUGGCGUCGAAGAACAGUGAAGAGCAGAAAAAUUCUUGAGGAUGAUGGUCGCCUCGCUCGUCAUUUCACACAUGGGUGGCGCCUGCCUUUGAAGUAGCGGUGAGCUUUAAUGAUAGUCCUCAGCUGGAGAAUAUUUAUGAACGUCUGUUCACGGUACAGUAUCUCUGGCAGUGUGAUGUGUUUCUCCUAGCCAUAUUCAUUGUAGUUUGUAUGUGCAGUUUACCUAAACAACCUUAAAAUUGUUUUUAUAAUAAUUUGGUAGCUUGUGGACAGUGGCAAUGCCAGGUUGUGCAUUCCGUGAUUUUUGUUUUCUUGUCAUGUUUUGUUUUAAGAAAAAAAGUGACAGGACUGGCUGUUGUAACAGCUAAACACGUACACAGAUGUACGGAAGGAACAAUGAAAGUUUCAGAUGAUGGGAUGGCUUUAAAAAGCUUAAAAUUUAUACUGAAACUGUACAGUACAACGAUUUAUCAACAACUGCUAUAAUGUCUAAGAUGAAUUAAUAACUGAUGUGCAAAAAGGGCGGCAUGUCCUUUAUAUAUUUUAGUGAAAUGAUGAAUAAUACAUAUCAUCAUCAUCAGAGAGGAAAGGUAGAUCUUUAGAAAAAUAGAAAAUAGUUGUAGGCAGUGCUGCAGAACCUUCCCUUCAUGAAUCAUAAAUCAGUACAACUGAAUACAGGGGUGAUAUAAAAGGAGGGAAACAAUAGCAAGUAAUGAAAGGUGAUAGAUAAACCAUGAUAAAAAGGCUUACCUGUACUUCUAUAAUUAUUUCCUUCAAACACUCUUGAGACCUGUCUGGUAAAGUUAGACACAUUUCAUUUUAAGAAUUUCUUUAUUUGGUAAAAACGUAAUCUGUUACAAGAUCUUGUGGAGAAGUAAAAAAAUUGCAUUUUCUCACAAUUUGAUAUUCUUCAGGACUUCAACGCUGUGGAUAAUGACUGUUAGCAAGAGAACACUGGUGUUGGAACAGGUAAGACUGUGGUGCCUCAGGACAUAGGUUAUGUAACUUCAACGUCCAAUCCAACAUACUUACCACUAUUAGUCCUCUUAGUUCUUCUGAAAUUUAAUGUUAACAAAAAAUUUAUGUUAAAAAAAAAAAUGGAUAUCGGUCAGUAGGAUAAUCGCAAUUCUCCUUACACAACAUAGAGGAAGACAGUGAAAUGUGUAAGGCUUGUGAUGAUACAAAAGUAGGCAACAUUGUUACUGAAGAGGACCCACGUUCCAAAGUUCCUGUACCCCGCUGUGGGAGAGAAACCUCAAGUCAAGGUUACAGAGCAUCCAGACAGGUGGAGAGCACCGCGCGGUAGUGAAGUGUUGAGGCACAGGGUAGGUGAAGAGUCGUUUCCACUGCCACCAUUAGUCUCGACCAGGUAUGUAAGUAGGGCAUAGAAAAAAAAAAUGACAGCGUGAAAAAAGAUGUGGUAUAGGUACACAUCUUUCACCUGCCCACGCCUCAGUGCUAACCUACCACAAUUUUUUUUUUUUUUUUUGCCGUGGGUACAGAGAAGAGGAGAGAGAGAGAGAGAGAGAGAGAGAGAGAGAGAGAGAGAGAGAGAGAGAGAGAGAGAGAGAGAGAGAGAGGGGGUAGGUGAGGAAGAGAAAGGGAGAGUAGGGGGGAGCUGAAAGGGAGAAAGAGGGGGACGGAGGGAGAGAGGGGAAUGAUGGGGAAGCCGGAGAGUGAAAAGACAAAGGGAGAGGGAGGGAGGGCGGUGAGGGGUAGUAAGUGAAGGGGGAAGACGGAAUGAGAGAGAGAGAGAGAGAGAGAGAGAGAGAGAGAGAGAGAGAGAGAGAGAGAGAGAGAGAGAAAUACUGCUUCUAUAUAAUUACCAUGACUCACUCAUGCCACUGUGGAACGUUGCCAUUGUUUUCUUUAAUGUACAAUGUAUAUGUAUGUUGCAAAUAAAUGUUAUAUGCAUAACGGCUUUUACAAUCCUUAUACCACUAAUAGCAAUACAGCUUGGAGACAAACACAUCUUUUGUACAUAAUUAGUAGUAGGUAAACCACAAGCUUAGAUAAAUGCUACAUGUCACUUCACAAAUUAUUUCUAAAGAAAAUUACACGCCAUAAUAAAACAAGUAUAUUAAAAUGCAAAUUCUCACGUCGACUGGCAAUGAAAACCCGUGAAGUUGAUUUUGGAAGCAUUUUCUGCAUGAAACCUUACUGAACAUCAGUAGAUGCAAAUUACCGUUAGGGUUCCAGGUGUCCGUGUGUAGGCGACGCGGAGGUAGAGCGGCGGCGGCUUGAGGGAGCAGGUGCGGAGAUGGAUGCCUUGAUGUCACCGCUGGAUAUUGUAAUGCCCCCUGGACGUAUACUGAAUGUAUCCUGAGGGGGAGCUAGUCCGGUAUACCUUCAGUAUACGUAGCAGGAGACACUACCGUCUCGAAGAAUGCCUUCGCGUGUUCACAACCUCCGAGUGUCUUGUUUGGAGUUGCCCAAGCUCAGAUGCGGAGAUGACGGCCCCUGUGGUUUUCCUUGGCUGCAGCAGUCACCGGGAGACACACACGGGCCAGUGUACAGCCAGGGCAUCACACAAACACCUUACAUUCAGCAGCCCAUCCCACAGUCUAUUACAAUCACCACUUUGCUCACCCUGCGGCCUGAGUUUCUCCCACACGCUGCUACCCACGAGGCGCAGACCACACUGGCCUCGGGGACCUGUCACUAGCAGCCUUGGACACAGCACUCCUGACAUGCAGGUUGUUCCCCUUUCUCCAGACCUAUAACUACAUGUCAUACAAUAUCUAAAUUAAUAUUCUUUUAAAGUUUUUAUCACACAACCUUCAAUAAAAAUACUAACAUACUGCACACACAAAAAACAUCAUCUCAAUUUCCUGACACCAGCAUGAAAAACACCCCAACACCUUUUAUACAUAACACACAUAUAGGGGGCUAAUAGGGCUACAAUAAGGUGCAUAACUAACGAGCGAGAAUGGGAGUCUGACGCAAAGGGGAUGGAGAGGGAAGGGGGGAAGGCCAAUAGCUGCUCUGUCUUGAUAUAUGAACGCGUCAUAAAGUGGUUUGGAGGUGGCGGAGGAGAGGGACGAGCGAUGAGGGGGAGGGAGGCAUGAAGUGAUAAUGAGCUUCACCGUCUACCUGAGAGGCUCCAGGUAAUUCCACACUGUCUCUCCACUACUCGUGUGUGGGAGAGAAAGAAAAAAAAAUCUACAAGUCCUUGACAUCACCCCGCGAUCAGGGCAACUUGUAAUUGUAGAACAAUAGGUUAGUUGGCAGUGUCAGAUCCUCCCUCCCUCCUUCCUCCCCCCCGAUAGAACUCACAGGACAGAUCAAAGGGGUAAGUGAUACAGUGAGGGACGAGGGACACAGAUUGAGACAUUAGUUUCAACCCGAACUAUUUUGAGUCUUCCGCCCUGUUGUUUACAGUCUCUCUCUCUCUCUCUCUCUCUCUCUCUCUCUCUCUCUCUCUCUCUCUCUCUCUCUCUCUCUCUCUCUCUCUCUCUCUCUCUCUCUCUCUCUCUCUCCGCGUUUAACAUGCACAUAAUGAAUUAAAAUAUCCCAAAUGUUAAAUGGAAAGUACCCAGAUACAUAAAAGGAAAGGAAAAAGUUAAUGAUUAAGGCAAGAUGCACUAUGAUUAACUAAUGAGUUACAGCAUCCGCUGUAGGUCAACCGCAGAAAAUUGCGAAAUUAAAUCGAUACAAGGUAAGUAUUAUAGCAUCACUUAAUAUGAUAUGAAAAAAAUAAAUUAAGACAUAUUUGAAGGGAGGUUUGGGAGAGAAAAAGUGAGUGAUUAUGUAACACGUGCCUUGGAUGUGAAAGUAAAGGAGAAAGUAGAUGUGGUGGUUAAUAGGGUAUACUUUUAUAAAUGAGGUGAAAAUAAAAGCAGGAGAUAAUAGGACAUCUGGUAGAACUUAUGAAGGUUUAUACGUACAGAGCCUCGAAAGCAAUCCAUGGAGGUUGUUUAGCUGCAUUUUUUCGGAGAAAUGACGUAGAGAAACACCUGUAGGAUUCAGAAGGUAUUAAUUAGUGAUUAAAAACACAUAUUUAGAAGUGCAACGCUGAAGUAGUCCUAAUAUCACUUAAGUAAUGAACACAUAUACAGGUCACUUAACACACGACAAAUAAAGGCUGCCUUAUUAUUAAGAAAAAAACAAACAAAAACGUUUAAAGCUACCCUAGUGAACUAAUACCAUAUAUACACGUAUAAAAAAAUGACAUGCGUCAAUCUAAACACUAAACACUCAUGACAAGCUCACAUUACCUUAACUUUCACUCCAGUCUCUCUUUCUCUUUCAGCUUACCCUCCACCUCCACUCUUUCUCCCACCACACCACAACCACACCACCAACACCAAAGCCAAAACAGCUUCUUACCAUGCGCCUUGAGCUGAAACAACAACAAGAGGCAAACGAGAAUAAUUCCACUUGGCUCACCACUCGCGUCCACUUCACACGUGUGGCUGGAAUCAUCUUGCACACUCCCAUUACCACUGCUGUCCCUUCGGUGUGGCCCAGGCUGCUUUAAG